AGAGCGAACGCUGGCGGCGUGCUUAACACAUGCAAGUCGAACGCGCAGCAUUCUGUAGCAAUACAGGGUGUGGGCGCGUGGCGAACGGGUGCGUAACACGUGACUAACCUACCUUCGAGUGGGGGAUAACCUCGGGAAACCGAGGCUAAUACCGCAUAACAUCGCAAGAUCAAAGCAGCAAUGCGCUGGAAGAGGGGGUCGCGGCUGAUUAGCUAGUUGGCGGGUAACGGCCCACCAAGGCGAAGAUCGGUAGCCGGCCUGAGAGGGCGCACGGCCACACUGGAACUGAAACACGGUCCAGACUCCUACGGGAGGCAGCAGUGGGGAAUUUUGCGCAAUGGGGGAAACCCUGACGCAGCAACGCCGCGUGGAGGAUGAAGCCCCUUGGGGCGUAAACUCCUUUCGACCAAGACGAUAAUGACGGUACUGGUGGAAGAAGCACCGGCUAACUCUGCGCCAGCAGCCGC
RNAcentral lists this ribosomal RNA (467 nucleotides) under uncultured bacterium. Its description in RNAcentral is "SSU rRNA". It matches the Rfam family "Bacterial small subunit ribosomal RNA", at positions 26 to 518 of the family's 1533-position model. The record is from RNAcentral.